UGUGACAUGACACAACGUCUCCUCCAUCUCUCCCUCCCCCUUUAUUUACAGAUGAGGAUGUUUCCCCUUUUAAAAAAGCCAGAGGGUAAUUUUGUACACAAAGUCUUUGCAAAGAAUGUGCUCAAAAAUGGAUGGUCCCCACUAAUGCCAGAAUGUGGGAGCAAGGAGCAGAGGACUGUAAGUAAUUACCACUGGACUUAGCCAAUAAUUCAUGCUAUAUUUCUGUUUAAUAAGAUGUAACUUACUUUGGAAUCCUGAGGGAUGAAAGGAAAGCUUGCAAUAUAAGACUUGAUUAUCAUCUGAAGCACUUCAGCUUUUCUUUCCCACCAUGAGAAAGUUCAUUUGGAGUCAUCAAUUACAAUUAAAGGAUCAUUUUUGCUUAACCUGCUGAAAACAGAUUAAAUUACGGGCAAUCCAAAUGGGCUGAUUAUAUAAUCAACAGCUUAUAUUGCAUAAAAGGCAGAUAAAACAGGAAUCUUGUCAUGAUGCAGGAAAAAAUACACAUGAUAUUUCUUAUCCAGAAAGAAAAUCAUUCAAAGGAUUUACUUGCCUGUAGUUAUACAUUUAAAAUCUUCUGUCACCAUGCGGUUUGCAUUAUAGAUGUCAACUUGGUAAAGAGUCACGGCAAAGACAACACAAUUAAUAGUAAGUAAGAAUAAAUAAAAUGAUCAGAUUCCAGUCAGGCCAUUAAUAAAACUACAGCCUCUUAAACCCAAAAACUUGUUCCAGAAAUUUUCCAUAGUAGACAGGGACAGGAAAAGCAUUGAAGGAGAAUUGUCAGAAGACACAAAACACCCUUGGUUGAUUAUUUGUUGGCCAGUUAUUUACUAGCAGAGUGGACUAAGUACAUCUAAUCCAGCAUUUUAUUUUCACAUUCUGGCCAACCAGAUGCAUAAUAGAUAGAAGCCAACAAGCAGACCCUGAAUGCAACAGCACUUUCCCCACCUGUGAUUCCUGGAACUGGUAGGUGCGUCUCCACCCCCAUUGCUCAGCCGAGACGCUCAGGUCCUCCUCCAAGGAUAAUUUGCUGGUUCCCUAACUGUGAGAAGCAAAGUUACAGGGAACCAGGCAGAGGACCUUCUCAGUAGUGGCACCCUCCCUGACGAACAAGAAAUAACUGCAGGGUUGAUGACUAGUCCUUGAGAUAAAGCUGUUGCAGACGAUGACAAAUGCAAAGGCACUUGGAUAACAUCUUCAAAUGAAACAGAUAACUCUGUAUUUGGGGUAUCGAGUAAGGAUCAAAGCCGAAGCAAAGCUUCCCAUUCCUUGAUUGCUGGAUUUGACAUCCAGCAUCCAAAUGCUGAGAGUAUCUUCAUCAGGAGAAGAGAAUUCUGGAAUGCCAGAAAAGGCUUCUCUUGAAACCAGACAAGAAUCGGUCAACACAGCCUUCUCAGCAAGGCAAGAAAAUAGUCACCAGCUGAGUAAAGCCUUGGGAUGACAUGAUGAUGGAUGGCCAGAUGGUUUCAAUCACACAGAAAAAGAACAAACUAUCCUAAAACAGUAGGGCACAGUUCUUGGGAUGCAAUACAAUGACCUACUCAAAAAUCAGCUGAUGAGGUGAGCCAAGAAAUCCAAGGUUUUGGGUGCGAUUUUGCUGACUUUCUCAAUGCUGUCUCCUUUUUCGUCUUGAAAGAGAAGUGAAAGCCAGGAAAUGCCACAAAUAAAGGAGAUGCAACUUUCAAUAGAGUCUGCACAGACACCAGGCCUGCCUGUUACUGUCACCAAGCAGAACCACAAACAGUUACCACAGCUGUAAACACCUCAAUUGGGAAGCCUGAUGCAAAGUUUAGCUUAGUGUAGCUUCUCAAACAAACGGAAAAGCCACAAUCUUUUUCAAGAUAUCACAGGCAUGCCUAUGUUCUAUACCAGCUUUCACCAACCUGCUGCUCUCCAGAUGUUCUGAACGUCGACUCCCAACAGCCCAAGCCAGCACAAAGCUGCCUUUUUAUACCAAGUCAGAGCAUUGCUCCAUCUAACUCAAUACUGUCUACAGUACUGACUGACAGCGGCUCUCCAGGACAAGGGUAUCUCCCAACUCUAUCUGUAGAUGCCAGGGGCUGAUCUUAGAACCAUCUGCCUGCAAAACAGGUGUUCUGCCAAUGUGCUAAGGCUGUUCUCUUAUAAGCAGAGUCACAUUAGGUACCCUGACCCUAAGCCGAUGGUGACUUUAUUUUUAAGGUCACAACCAGCUGCUUUGCAAGCUGAAGAUGGAAUUUAUACUCCCAGAUUCAAGCUUGGCUCACAACAGUUGGGUCUAAAGAGCAUCUCUUUUCGCACACAGGAUCUUCACAUGCUGGAAACAAACUCACAAGAAGAUACAUAAUUCACACUAACUACCCAGCUGCACUUAAUCCAUUGGCAGCUAUAACCUUUAAGAAACAAGAAGUCGCAGACUUUGCACAUAAGUUAUAGAUGCUUCCAUUAAUCAAGUAUAAUCUAAUAGAUAGGUGUUUCGGUCUGUCAUGUCCAGUGUGCAUUUUUCACCACAAGGUAGCCAAUUAGACUGAAAACACCAAAGUGGCAGAGAUAUAGUUGUGCUCUCUACUGAGAUUGGUUGGUGCGCCUCCUAAUUUCUUAGGUGACCUUGUCCCGCUUUAUUAGUCUUGAAUAGCCUAUUCCUAUGUCUUUAAUAUCUAUUCUGCAGGGAAAGGUUUCAAAGGUAUUACUUUUCCUCCUAGCAAAGGAGCAUUAUGAUAAUACAAAGGAUACAUUAUGGUGAAACCUUUUGUUGAAACACAGCCAAGGAUCCAAAGACUUCAGGGAGUAGCAGCUGGUAUCCCCCUACUCCAGUACUUCUCUUCUGGAACUUCAGUACAGUGGUACCUCGGUUUAUAAACACAAUUGGUUCUGGAAGUCCGUACUUAACCUGAAGCGUACUUAACCUGUAGCGAACUUUCCCAUUGAAAGUAAUGGAAAGUGGAUUAAUCUGUUUCAGACAGGUCCGCAGAGCACUUAAACUGAAAAUACUCAAACCGAGGCGUACUUAAACCGAGGUAGGACUGUAGUUUACCACCUUCAACAAAUACAAUUGUUCCAACAGCAUAGAGAUUUCUGCUUGCAAAAUAGAAAUUCCCAUGCCUCCCUAAACCUGUUCUGGGGUUUCUCCAACCCCCGGAGUAGAUUUGAGGAAGGCAUGAGGGAAGAGGGAGGAGUCCUGUAAUACAAUCAGAAAUCCUAGGGCUGUUGGGACUCAUUAGUAGAAUACUGCAAUGUCCUUCUAUCUUCAGUAUGGCAUGUUGAAAUUCAGCAGAUACAACUUCUCACACCACAGCCUCUGCUUACUGGGACGACCUGGACCUGUUGGCUUUCUGUUUAUCAGGCAAUAGAGCACCUCUGUUAAGAAAUUCAAAAGGGAAUGGAAUUUAAUCUGGAGCAAACCAAGCUCUGGUUCUCUGGAGCAAGCUAAUGCCUUUAGUUGAUCCAGUCCCUCUUGGCAGAGGUUUAGGAGCCAGGGGCCAGCUAUGUACGUCUUAAAGGCUUCUUUUUUUUAAGCCUCCUCCAAUUAUGAAUUGAAAAUGAAGCCAAUACUGUCAACCAUGUCUGGGAAGAAGAAUGGGUAGCCAGAAGGGAGAGUGGCGAGGCAGAAACAUAUUGCUCUUUUUAUUUGUAAACAGAAUCCCUCUGGGAGUCCUGGUUGAAAGGCACCGUCAUUAAUUACAUUUGAGAGGGAAAAUCAGGAGAAUCUACACCACGGAGAUUGGGUGCUGAUUCCUCUCCCUGAAGCAGCAACGGAAACUUCACGCUCAUCUGUCAAGAACAGUGAUGAAAUAAAGCAAAGCCCGUGAGGGAGAUGUGUGUUUUCAAGGAUGUUACACAAUUGUAAAACAGAGUGUUCUCCAUGGCUCCCAUAACCCCAUAGCGGAAUUUUAUACCGAAUAGACGUACACACACACACCUGAUCUCUCUUGACCAUGGAUCCUGUGCUAGACACUGGAUCUAUCAUUUCAUUUCAGGACUCUUCACAUGGUUAUAGAGAGAAGAAUAAAGUGGCAAAAAAUGAAGAUCUCCCAAAGAAAAAUGAAUAUUGCCUGUCUGUCCUCUGCCUUAGGCGGUAUUCACUCUCUUGUUUACUGUGUGCACCCACUGUGUUUUCAGUACUGGGUUUAAAAUCUGUGUUCAAACAAUGUUAUCCAAAAUGCAUAUGUAUCCUGUGCUUUGCUAUGAGAUAUUAGUAUCUGAUAUGUGCACCGAGAACUCCCAGAAGUGCAAGCUGGAUUUCGAAGGGGCAGAGGAACCAGAGACCAAAUAGCAAACAUGUGCUGGAUUAUGGAGAAAGCUAGAGAGUUCCAGAAAAAUGUCUACUUCUGCUUCAUUGACUAUGCAAAAGCCUUUGACUGUAUCGACCACAGCAAACUAUGGCAAGUUCUUAAAGAAAUGGGAGUGCCUGAUCACCUCAUCUGUCUCCUGAGAAAUCUCUAUGUGGGACAAGAAGCUACAGUUAGAACUGGAUAUGGAACAACUGAUUGGUUCAAAAUGGGGAAAGGAGUAUGACAAGGUUGUAUAUUGUCUCCCUGCUUAUUUAACUUAUAUGCAGAAUUCAUCAUGCGAAAGGCUGGACUAGAUGAAUCCCAAGCCGGAAAUAAGAUUGCCGGAAGAAAUAUCACCAACCUCAGAUAUGCAGAUGACACAACCUUGAUGACAGAAAGUGAGGAGGAAUUAAAGAACCUUUUAAUGAGGGUGAAAGAGGAGAGUGCAACAUAUGGUCUGAAGCUCAACAUCAAAAAAACCAAGAUCAUGGCCACUGGUCCCAUCACCUCCUGGCAAAUAGAAGGGGAAGAAAUGGAGGCAGUGAGAGAUUUUACUUUCUUGGGCUCCUUGAUCACUGCAGAUGGUGACAGCAGUCACGAAAUUAAAAGACCCCUGCUUCUUGGGAGAAAAGCAAUGACAAACCUGGACAGCAUCUUAAAAAGCAGAGACAUCACCUUGCCGACAAAGGUCCGUAUAGUUAAAGCUAUGGUUUUCCCGGUAGUGAUGUAUGGAAGUGAGAGCUGGACCAUAAAGAAGGCUGAUCACUGAAGAAUUGAUGCUUUUGAAUUAUGGUGCUGGAGGAGGCUCCUUAGAGUCCCAUGGACUGCAAGAAGAUCAAACCUAUCCAUUCUUAAGGAAAUCAGCCCUGAGUGCUCACUGGAAGGACAGAUCCUGAAGCUGAGGCUCCAAUACUUUGACCACCUCAUGAGAAGAGAAGACUCCCUGGAAAAGACCCUGAUGUUGGGAAAGAUGAAGGGCACAAGGAGAAGGGGACGACAGAGGAUGAGAUGGUUGGACAGUGUUCUCGAAACUAUGAACAUGAGUUUGACCAAACUGCGGGAGGCAGUGGAAGACAGGAGUGCCUGGCGUGCUCUGGUCCAUGGGGUCACGAAGAGUUGGACACAACUAAACGACUAAACAACAACAACAACAUUAGUAUCUGA
Molecule: long non-coding RNA, 5411 nt
Organism: Zootoca vivipara (common lizard)
Lineage: Eukaryota; Metazoa; Chordata; Lepidosauria; Squamata; Lacertidae
Source: RefSeq, a predicted model, not a curated record